Pelobates cultripes (western spadefoot toad) is the source of this 529-nucleotide non-coding RNA. The record is from the annotation of a GenBank genome assembly. NCBI's taxonomy places the organism in Eukaryota, Metazoa, Chordata, Amphibia, Anura, Pelobatidae.
UUGAGGAGGCGGUGACCGUGUAGGUGGAAGCAGCGGUGGAGGAGGAGGAUGAGGUAGCCAACACUGUUUUUUUUAUGUAUAUAUAUUUUUUAAUUGGGGUAGCCCCCAAAAUAUUGGGACAUAUAAAAAAGACAACUUUGUUCCACAGAGUAGCUGUUGACAUUAUAGUUGCGCAGGCACUUUGUUGACUCUAGAGAACCUCGGGUCCAUCGCACAUCCCCGUGACGGCGAAUUUGCAUUUGGAUGUCAUCCAUAUCAACUUUCGAUGCCAGUUUCUGCGCCUACCAUGGUGACUACAGGUAAUGGGGAAUUAGGGUUUCAUUCCGUACAGGGACCCUGAGAAAAGGUUACCACAUGCAAGGAGGGCAAGAGGCACGCAAAUGACUCAGUGAUGACAAAUAACAAUACAGGACUCUUUAGAGGCCCUGUAAUUGUAAUGAGUCCACUUGAAAUCCUUUAACGCUGAUCAAUUGGAGGGAAGUCUGAUGCAGAGCCACUGACCUGUGCGUGCUGCAGCUGAAACUCCACU